AAUUUUUGACAAUGGGCGCAAGCCUGAUCCAGCCAUGCCGCGUGAGUGAAGAAGGCCUUCGGGUAGUAAAGCUCUUUCGGACGGAAAGAAAACGCGCAGGCUGAUACCAUGCGCGGCUGACGGUAGCGUCAUCAGAAGCACAGGCUAACUACGUGCAAGCAGCCGCGGUAAUACGUAGUGUGCGCGCGUUAAUCGGAAUUACUGGGCGUAAAGCGUGCGCAGUCGGUUGAUUAAGACAGGCGUGAAAUCCCCGGGCUUAACCUGGGAACUGCGCUUAUGACUGGUCAGCUAGAGUACGGCAGAGGAGGGUGGAAUUCCACGUGUAGCAGUGAAAUGCGUAGAGAUGUGGAGGAACACCGAUGGCGAAGGCAGCCCCCUGGGCCGAUACUGACGCUCAUGCACGAAAGCGUGGGUAGCAAACAGG
RNAcentral lists this ribosomal RNA (424 nucleotides) under uncultured bacterium. RNAcentral describes it as "partial 16S ribosomal RNA". It matches the Rfam family "Bacterial small subunit ribosomal RNA", at positions 360 to 776 of the family's 1533-position model. The record is from RNAcentral.